Molecule: long non-coding RNA, 1646 nt
Organism: Photinus pyralis (common eastern firefly)
Lineage: Eukaryota; Metazoa; Arthropoda; Insecta; Coleoptera; Lampyridae
Exons: 2
Source: RefSeq, a predicted model, not a curated record
GUUAAUGGCUAGAACGAUACGCGAUUGCGUGCGGUAAUGGAGCUAUAAACAACGCAAAAUAGAAAAAAACAUAAAGUUGAUUUCUUCGACACGAAACGUACCUAUUAAAAAUCUCUCAACGCUAUCCUGUAGAGCACAAUAAUUGGAAAUGAGAAAGGGUUUUAUAUUUUUCUGUAACUGCUCAUGUGACACCAGGAAAAAAACGAAAUCGGGAAAUUUUCGUUUUUCUGGGAUAUCUUCGGAAGUAGGUAAUCGGAAUUUUCUUUAAAGCAUGAUAAUGCUGCACUACUACUAAUUGCGCACCUUUCCUCUAAUUUGAUCAUCGUCGUAUCUUUUAUGGUUUCCGAAGAUCCCUGUGAUGGACAUCCUUAUCUUGGACGCAGUGUAGGUAUAUAUGGAGCAUAGGAGACAGGUAGGUAUCUAUAUAAGGUAGAUGGCACUUUUUUAAACUAUUCCACCGCUUUUCCAUGGCGUACAAAUAGGUAGCAUAACAUAAAGAACAAAAACUAUCAUAAUCUCCAGUGACAGCGGGGCUGCCCUGCAGGCACUUGGUCACUGUAAAAUUACUUCUAGGUUGCUUUCCGAAUGUCACCAUGCACUAGAGCAAGCAGCAACACCCUUGAGCUCGCAUGGGUCAAAGGGCAUACACAGGGCUAUAUGGAACAUGAUGUUAGAUUGUCACCAUGGGAGAGAAGCCUUCAAAGUGCCAUCUUGUAGAGAAUGUUACAUAGACGAUGAGGUGACAUACCAUACUUUGUGAAUGUCCCACUAUAGUCCAACUGAAACAAUCCAUGUUAAGGUAUCCUGGCCAGAGAUAGGUACGCGUGGUCCCUCUCCACCUUCCUAUGGUAAUUUAGAAUCCGGGAUUAGCUGUUAGUCAGCGGAAUUACAUUGGUUAAUGGCUUAAUUAUAUCUGACGGAAAUAACUUGAAGAAAUUGUGGAACAGUUUCUGUACGGAUGACAGACUCUUCUAGCACCCAACUACUGGAAAAGAUAUACCAAUUGUUGAUAGUUGUCGGACAUUUGAUUCUGAACAGGGUGCUCUGUUACAUACUGUGUCCUACUUGAAGGUUUAAUUUCACUUAAAGUUGACAAUAGGAACAGUUCUUCCCUAACCUUUCAAUAUUAUCUUUACAGAUUCACAGUAUUUUUUUUUGAGGCAGCUACACGAAUUGUUCUUAAUUGCAAAAUGGAAAUACUCAUAGAAAGAAUCUGGUGAAAUUAUUUUAUUGAACAACAUAAAUUUUUAAACAGAACAACUAUGACCUAAUUUUAGCACAACACAACCAUAACAUAUUAUACAAGAUGCUUGUGGGAUAAAUAACUGUCCAACUAGCUCUAGUUAUCUACAAUUAAUUUUGUAAUUAUACAUAUAAAGGUGAAGGCGGAAUAGGGCUGCAUGUUCAAAUCAAUAAUACAGCAUUCGGUACCAUUUUUCCAGCGCACACUGUAGGAGAAACACGAGCGAAUCUCUGCUUACUUUUCAAAAGCAAAAUGCUAACCGUUAAUGGAGAACUAUGAAACCCUUUCAAGUGAAAUUAUCGAAAGAAUUUCAAUUCUCGAACGAUUAAGAUUUUGUUGGCAACAAUGAAGCUCCAUUCUUAUGGAUUUGGAAAACGAUCGAUAGAUUGACGAGUCGUGCACU